AGCGAACGCUGGCGGCAGGCCUAACACAUGCAAGUCGAACGGAUCCUUCGGGAUUAGUGCGGACGGGUGAGUAACACGUGGGAACGUGCCCUUUGGUUCGGAACAACUCAGGGAAACUUGAGCUAAUACCGGAUGUGCCCUUCGGGGGAAAGAUUUAUCGCCAUUGGAGCGGCCCGCGUCUGAUUAGCUAGUUGGUGAGGUAACGGCCCACCAAGGCGACGAUCAGUAGCUGGUCUGAGAGGAUGAUCAGCCACACUGGGACUGAGACACGGCCCAGACUCCUACGGGAGGCAGCAGUGGGGAAUCUUGCGCAAUGGGCGAAAGCCUGACGCAGCCAUGCCGCGUGAAUGAUGAAGGUCUUAGGAUUGUAAAAUUCUUUCAGCGGGGACGAUAAUGACGGUACCCGCAGAAGAAGCUCCGGCUAACUUCGUG
This 432-nucleotide ribosomal RNA is filed under the name uncultured bacterium. Its description in RNAcentral is "partial 16S ribosomal RNA". It matches the Rfam family "Bacterial small subunit ribosomal RNA", at positions 29 to 507 of the family's 1533-position model. The record is from RNAcentral.